UCAGGAGAUUCUGUUGCAUGGAAGGAGGGUGGAGCAGCAAAGGGUGUUGGAAGCCCAUGGACACUUUGAACUCUACUCCAACUGUCUCAUCUUCACUGUGACCUGGACACAGAGCCUCUGAGCCAAGGCCACUCAGCAAUUUCAGAAGCAUCCCAUUUGCUUGGAACAGCCUCAAAGUGGCCUGAAACCCACCUCCACUUUUGAAGUUGAGUAGUGCCAUCCCAAAAUGUUCCCACAUGGCAGAAGAUGUGGUAAGAGGCAUCAAAUUUGCUGUGAGAAGCUGUUGACUGGCCCUGAUGCUGCCUCAACUCCUGGAGUGUGGUUGUGCCAGGACAGAAUCCUUCCUCGUGGCUGGAGAUGUGUUCUGGAUGAAUGUGACAGGGAUCAACCUUGAGAACUUGCGCUUGUGAGACAGGCGCUAGAACCACUGAGCUAAAUCACCGGUCCCAUUAAUUAUCAUAUUGCCAAAUAUAAAAUUGUAAAAGUGAAUAAGAAAAUAAAAUUAAUGUUCCAUGGAAAUAGCUGAAUGACAUAAACUGUUGAUUUAUAAGACAAA
Molecule: long non-coding RNA, 556 nt
Organism: Heterocephalus glaber (naked mole-rat)
Lineage: Eukaryota; Metazoa; Chordata; Mammalia; Rodentia; Bathyergidae
Source: RefSeq, a predicted model, not a curated record